RNAcentral lists this transfer RNA (94 nucleotides) under Nocardia wallacei. RNAcentral's name for it is "tRNA-Ser". Lineage: Bacteria; Bacillati; Actinomycetota; Actinomycetes; Mycobacteriales; Nocardiaceae. The record is from RNAcentral.
UCUCGCCGUGGGCGACGGCGGCACCCACGGACUGGAAAUCUGUGUCGGGCUGCUGACCCUGCGCCUGCCGUUCUUCCAGGGUUCGCUGCGUGAG